RNAcentral lists this ribosomal RNA (1471 nucleotides) under Lactiplantibacillus plantarum. RNAcentral's name for it is "bacterial SSU rRNA". It matches the Rfam family "Bacterial small subunit ribosomal RNA". Lineage: Bacteria; Bacillati; Bacillota; Bacilli; Lactobacillales; Lactobacillaceae. The record is from RNAcentral.
GCUCAGGACGAACGCUGGCGGCGUGCCUAAUACAUGCAAGUCGAACGAACUCUGGUAUUGAUUGGUGCUUGCAUCAUGAUUUACAUUUGAGUGAGUGGCGAACUGGUGAGUAACACGUGGGAAACCUGCCCAGAAGCGGGGGAUAACACCUGGAAACAGAUGCUAAUACCGCAUAACAACUUGGACCGCAUGGUCCGAGUUUGAAAGAUGGCUUCGGCUAUCACUUUUGGAUGGUCCCGCGGCGUAUUAGCUAGAUGGUGAGGUAACGGCUCACCAUGGCAAUGAUACGUAGCCGACCUGAGAGGGUAAUCGGCCACAUUGGGACUGAGACACGGCCCAAACUCCUACGGGAGGCAGCAGUAGGGAAUCUUCCACAAUGGACGAAAGUCUGAUGGAGCAACGCCGCGUGAGUGAAGAAGGGUUUCGGCUCGUAAAACUCUGUUGUUAAAGAAGAACAUAUCUGAGAGUAACUGUUCAGGUAUUGACGGUAUUUAACCAGAAAGCCACGGCUAACUACGUGCCAGCAGCCGCGGUAAUACGUAGGUGGCAAGCGUUGUCCGGAUUUAUUGGGCGUAAAGCGAGCGCAGGCGGUUUUUUAAGUCUGAUGUGAAAGCCUUCGGCUCAACCGAAGAAGUGCAUCGGAAACUGGGAAACUUGAGUGCAGAAGAGGACAGUGGAACUCCAUGUGUAGCGGUGAAAUGCGUAGAUAUAUGGAAGAACACCAGUGGCGAAGGCGGCUGUCUGGUCUGUAACUGACGCUGAGGCUCGAAAGUAUGGGUAGCAAACAGGAUUAGAUACCCUGGUAGUCCAUACCGUAAACGAUGAAUGCUAAGUGUUGGAGGGUUUCCGCCCUUCAGUGCUGCAGCUAACGCAUUAAGCAUUCCGCCUGGGGAGUACGGCCGCAAGGCUGAAACUCAAAGGAAUUGACGGGGGCCCGCACAAGCGGUGGAGCAUGUGGUUUAAUUCGAAGCUACGCGAAGAACCUUACCAGGUCUUGACAUACUAUGCAAAUCUAAGAGAUUAGACGUUCCCUUCGGGGACAUGGAUACAGGUGGUGCAUGGUUGUCGUCAGCUCGUGUCGUGAGAUGUUGGGUUAAGUCCCGCAACGAGCGCAACCCUUAUUAUCAGUUGCCAGCAUUAAGUUGGGCACUCUGGUGAGACUGCCGGUGACAAACCGGAGGAAGGUGGGGAUGACGUCAAAUCAUCAUGCCCCUUAUGACCUGGGCUACACACGUGCUACAAUGGAUGGUACAACGAGUUGCGAACUCGCGAGAGUAAGCUAAUCUCUUAAAGCCAUUCUCAGUUCGGAUUGUAGGCUGCAACUCGCCUACAUGAAGUCGGAAUCGCUAGUAAUCGCGGAUCAGCAUGCCGCGGUGAAUACGUUCCCGGGCCUUGUACACACCGCCCGUCACACCAUGAGAGUUUGUAACACCCAAAGUCGGUGGGGUAACCUUUUAGGAACCAGCCGCCU